CAGUCGCCGCGGGAAUACGAAGGGUGCAAGCGUUAAUCGGAAUUACUGGGCGUAAAGCGCGCGUAGGCGGCUUUUUAAGUCAGAGGUGAAAGCCCGGGGCUCAACCCCGGAAUUGCCUUUGAAACUGGAAAGCUAGAAUCUUGGAGAGGUCAGUGGAAUUCCGAGUGUAGAGGUGAAAUUCGUAGAUAUUCGGAAGAACACCAGUGGCGAAGGCGACUGACUGGACAAGUAUUGACGCUGAGGUGCGAAAGCGUGGGGAGCAAACAGGAUUAGAUACCCGUGUAGUCCCUGUCUCUUAUAC
Molecule: ribosomal RNA, 301 nt
Filed under: uncultured bacterium
Lineage: Bacteria
Description: partial 16S ribosomal RNA
Rfam family: Bacterial small subunit ribosomal RNA
Source: RNAcentral